UUGGAGGGCAAGUCUGGUGCCAGCAGCCGCGGUAAUUCCAGCUCCAGUAGCGUAUAUUAAAGUUGUUGCAGUUAAAAAGCUCGUAGUUGAAUUUCGGGGUCAGUAGGCUGGUCGUGCCUCAGGUACGUACUGGUCUUACUGAUUCCUCCUUCCUGACGAACCGUAAUGCCAUUAAUUUGGUGUUGCGGGGAAUCUGGACUGUUACUUUGAAAAAAUUAGAGUGUUUAAAGCAGGCUAACGCUUGAAUACAUUAGCAUGGAAUAAUGAAAUAGGACGAUCGAUCCUAUUUUGUUGGUUUCUAGGAUUGACGUAAUGAUUAAUAGGGAUAGUUGGGGGCAUUAGUAUUCAAUUGUCAGAGGUGAAAUUCUUGGAUUUAUUGAAGACUAACUACUGCGAAAGCAUUUGCCAAGGAUGUUUUCAUUAAUCAAGAACAAAAGUUAGGGGAUCGAAGACGAUCAGAUACCGUCGUAGUCUUAACCAUAAACUAUGCCGACUAGGGAUCGGAUGAUGUUAAUUUUUUAAUGACUCAUUCGGCGCCUUACGGGAAA
This 548-nucleotide ribosomal RNA is filed under the name uncultured Glomeromycotina. Its description in RNAcentral is "SSU rRNA". It matches the Rfam family "Eukaryotic small subunit ribosomal RNA", at positions 548 to 1097 of the family's 1831-position model. Lineage: Eukaryota; Fungi; Glomeromycota. The record is from RNAcentral.